GUUUGUUUGGAGUUAUAAAAAAUUUAACCUGCCCCCUGAUUAAUUAUUUAAAGGGCCGCAGUAUUAUAACUGUGCAAAGGUAGCAUAAUCAUUAGGUUUUUAAUUGAAAUCUCGUAUGAAUGGUUGGACAAAAGAAGAACUCUCUUUAUGUUAAGUUUUGAAUUUAACUUUUAAGUGAAAAGGCUUAAAUAUUCUAAAGGGACGAUAAGACCCUAUAAAACUUUACAUUGUUAUUAAUUUUGAUUGAAUUUAUGAAAUAAGAAUUUUAUUUGAUUAUUUGUUAUGUUGGGGAGACAUAAGUAAAAAUUUUUUAACUGCUUUGACAAUUAUACAAUUAUUAGUGAAUAAGUAAAAGAUCCUUUUUUAAGAUUAGUAGAUUAAGUUACUUUAGGGAUAACAGUGUAAUUUCUUUUGAGAGUUCUUAUCGAAAAAGAAGAUUGCGACCUCGAUGUUGAAUUAAAAUGUCUAUAUAAUGGAGAAAUUAUAUGAGAAGGUCUGUUCGACCUUGAAAAUUUUACAUGAUUUGAGUUCAAACCGGUGUAAG
This 544-nucleotide ribosomal RNA is filed under the name Longpotamon honanense. RNAcentral describes it as "partial 16S ribosomal RNA". It matches the Rfam family "Bacterial large subunit ribosomal RNA", at positions 1831 to 2625 of the family's 2925-position model. RNAcentral also lists the same sequence under 1 other name. The record is from RNAcentral. Lineage: Eukaryota; Metazoa; Arthropoda; Malacostraca; Decapoda; Potamidae.